GAACACCGACAAAAUAGCCGCUAAAAGUGGAGCUAGAAAACUGCCCUUGAAAAGAAACACAAACACCCACCGCAAUUUCUCUCCCAGUCUCUGUGGCAGUGUUGUGUUAGCUUUACCCCUGAAACACAAAUAGAACCAGUCGAUUUCACGACUUCUUUCUAGUUAUGUUAUGCUUCCUAGAGUUUUCGUUUUUUACUAUUUUUCGUAAUCUUGACAGUGCAUUUUCUUGUUUACUUUUAUAUUUGUAUCCUUCUUUUUUUUUUCUUUUACCAGUAUUUUGUUCAGCUUUUAGUUGCAGCUGAAUCUGUUUAGUUUAAGAUCUGUGGUUUGGUUUUCUAAGGUUGGUCAGUGGUUGUUAUCUUUUGUUUUUGGGAGGGGAGAAUGGGUCUCCAAUUCUUUAUUUUUUCUUGAUUUUCUCUGGGUGUUCUUAUUGUUUUGUCCAAGUUACUCUCUCUCUCUCUCUCUGGAUUUUUUUCAUUGUUUCUUUGGUUUUUUUCCUGGAUUUACUUCUUCGCAAUUCUGUGUUAUACAGAUGGGUUGUUUUUCUUGCAUGAGUCCUCGAAGGGACAUAAACAAAAUUGAAGACAGUAACCGCAUUCAAUCUCGCUCUCGCCAUUGUCGUACUUCUUCAGAGAGUAGUAGUAAGGGAAAGGCAAGUAGUGAACGAGUCAAGGGAAAAGGAUCGCUCAAUAGUAAGGGCAAAGACAGAGAUAACAAACACAAUGCAGCUCAAAGCUUUACAUUUCGCGAGCUUGCCACCGCCACAAAAAAUUUUAAGGCCACUAAUUUGAUCGGGGAAGGGGGUUUCGGGAGGGUCUACAAAGGGCGCUUGGAAACAGGCCAGAUUGUUGCAGUCAAACAACUGGAUCAAAAUGGCCUUCAGGGGAAUCAGGAAUUUAUUGUUGAGGUUCUUAUGCUCAGCCUCUUGCACCAUUCCAAUCUUGUCAACUUGAUAGGAUAUUGCACUGAUGGCGAUCAAAGGUUAUUGGUUUAUGAGUACAUGCCGAUGGGAAGCUUGGAAGAUCAUCUGUUUGAUCUGACUCCUAACAAAGAACCACUUGAGUGGAACACACGGAUGAAGAUUGCCGUUGGUGCUGCUCGAGGCCUUGAGUAUCUGCAUUGCAAAGCAAACCCCCCUGUUAUUUACCGUGACUUGAAAUCAGCAAACAUCUUGUUAGACAAUGAUUUCAAUCCCAAGCUCUCUGAUUUUGGACUUGCUAAACUGGGACCUGUUGGUGACAACACUCAUGUUUCAACAAGGGUGAUGGGGACAUAUGGAUACUGUGCCCCAGAAUAUGCCAUGAGUGGAAAGCUGACACUCAAAUCUGAUGUCUAUAGUUUUGGUGUUGUUCUGUUGGAAUUGAUCACAGGGAGGAAGGCCAUCGACUGUACUAAGGUUCAGGGAGAGCAGAAUCUAGUUUCUUGGUCUCGGCCAUUCUUUAAGGACCGCAGGAAGUUUGUUCAGUUAGUUGAUCCUCAGCUGCAAGGGCGAUUCCCUCUCCGUUGUUUGCACCAUGCAAUUGCCAUAACAGCAAUGUGCCUUCAGGAACAGCCAACUUUUCGUCCUCUCAUUGCUGAUAUUGUUGUUGCGCUUGAGUAUCUGGCAUCUCAGCCUUUCAAAGCAGACAUCCCACCAGCAUCAUCUCCCUCACAACGAGAUAAUUAUGUAUUUUCUCAGGAAUCCAAUUCUAUAAAGAAUUCUACAUCUGUUUAAUGGCUUUAUCAUACAAUUAGAUUCAGUUCCGAUAACUGGAGGUACAAGUAAAUUGUACAAGGUCCUUUGCAUUGGUUUGUUACAGAAGCCAAAUUCCUAUGAGAAGAAACAAGGAAUCCCCCCUUGCUGCUAUCAACAUGAAGGAUAAAGGAAACCUGUUCCCAGUAUAUGUUUAUUAAUAUGCAUAUAAGAAUGAAUGUACAUAUGAAUAUGUAUAUGAACAUAUGGAUUGGGCUGAUGAAAUCAGGACAUAAUCUAUACGAGAGUGUUUGGUGGGGAUGUUGGGAUUGGGAAGAAAGAUCAAGUUUCUCGGGUGUGCAUGUAUGCAUGCACGUGUGCCUUUUGUUUGCAUCUUCAGGAAACCUGUUCAGCUAUCUAAGAAUGUCAUUAGCUUCUUUCAAGUGUAGUACAGAGAGAAUGUUAAGAUGCGAAAGCUAGAUUUUUAUGACUAGCCGGAAUUUGAGCCAAAACCCAGCUCAGAAGUUGAACCGUUUUUCUCUCUGAGUCAAUAGGUCAGCAGUUCAACCGUUUGGGUUAAUGGGUCAACCUGCGAUG
Non-coding RNA from Nelumbo nucifera (sacred lotus), 2269 nucleotides. The record is from RefSeq and is a predicted model, not a curated record. Lineage: Eukaryota; Viridiplantae; Streptophyta; Magnoliopsida; Proteales; Nelumbonaceae.